AUCAUCUUAUUGAUCCUCUAAGAGUAAGGAGACUAGCAGAUAAGAAUUUAUAUAUUGUAAAGAAAGGAUAUAUAAGCCAAAGAUCAACAUACCAGUUGAUGGGCAAGAUCAUGCAGCACCCAUAAUGCUGCACAAGAAAGGACAGAGCAUUCACACUGGAUGUAAAGCAAAAAUAUGCAUUAGAAACAAUGAAGUUGGCA
This 200-nucleotide long non-coding RNA is filed under the name Elaeis guineensis (African oil palm). Its description in RNAcentral is "long non-coding RNA (EGUI_LNC020376)". The record is from RNAcentral. Lineage: Eukaryota; Viridiplantae; Streptophyta; Magnoliopsida; Arecales; Arecaceae.